This 253-nucleotide ribosomal RNA is filed under the name uncultured bacterium. RNAcentral describes it as "partial 16S ribosomal RNA". It matches the Rfam family "Bacterial small subunit ribosomal RNA", at positions 524 to 776 of the family's 1533-position model. The record is from RNAcentral.
GACGGAGGGUGCUAGCGUUGUUCGGAUUUACUGGGCGUAAAGGGCGCGUAGGCGGCCUGAUCAGUCGGGUGUGAAAGCCCGGGGCUCAACCCCGGAACGGCACCCGAGACGGUCAGGCUGGAGACCGGGAGAGGAGGGUGGAAUAGCCAGUGUAGAGGUGAAAUUCGUAGAUAUUGGCUGGAACACCGGUGGCGAAAGAGGCUCUUUGGCCCGGUUCUGACGCUGAGGCGCGAAAGCGUGGGGAGCAAACAGG